GUGUCAGCAGCCGCGGUAAUACAGAGGUCUCAAGCGUUGUUCGGAUUCAUUGGGCGUAAAGGGUGCGUAGGCGGCGCGGUAAGUCGGGUGUGAAAUCUCGGGGCUUAACUCCGAAACUGCAUUCGAUACUGCCGUGCUUGAGGACUGGAGAGGAGACUGGAAUUUACGGUGUAGCGGUGAAAUGCGUAGAUAUCGUAAGGAAGACCAGUGGCGAAGGCGGGUCUCUGGACAGUUCCUGACGCUGAGGCACGAAGGUCAGGGGAGCAAACGGGAUUAGAUACCCCGGUAGUCCUGACAGUAAACGGUGCACGUUUGGUGUGGGAGGAUUCGACCCCUUCUGCGCCGGAGCUAACGCGUUAAACGUGCCGCCUGGGGAGUACGGUCGCAAGAUUAAA
RNAcentral lists this ribosomal RNA (395 nucleotides) under uncultured bacterium. Its description in RNAcentral is "bacterial SSU rRNA". It matches the Rfam family "Bacterial small subunit ribosomal RNA", at positions 505 to 898 of the family's 1533-position model. The record is from RNAcentral.